Small nuclear RNA from Mesocricetus auratus (golden hamster), 164 nucleotides. RefSeq annotates it as U1 spliceosomal RNA. The transcript has a single exon. NCBI's taxonomy places the organism in Eukaryota, Metazoa, Chordata, Mammalia, Rodentia, Cricetidae. The record is from RefSeq and is a predicted model, not a curated record.
AUACUUAGCUGGCAGAGGAAAUACCAUGAUUAUGAAGGUGGUUUUCCCAGGGCAAGGCUUAUCCAUUGCACUCUGGAUGUGCUGACCCCUGCAGUUUCCCCAAAUGCAGGAAACUCAGUCACAUAAUUUGUGGUAGUGGGAGACUGCAUUCAUGCUCUCCCCUA